RNAcentral lists this ribosomal RNA (468 nucleotides) under uncultured bacterium. RNAcentral's name for it is "bacterial SSU rRNA". It matches the Rfam family "Bacterial small subunit ribosomal RNA", at positions 28 to 507 of the family's 1533-position model. The record is from RNAcentral.
GACGAACGCUGGCGGCGCGCCUAACACAUGCAAGUCGAACGAGCAAAGAGGAGCUUGCUUCUCUGAGCGAGUGGCGAACGGGUGAGUAACGCGUGAGGAACCUGCCUCAAAGAGGGGGACAACAGUUGGAAACGACUGCUAAUACCGCAUAAGCCCACGGGUCGGCAUCGACCAGAGGGAAAAGGAGCAAUCCGCUUUGAGAUGGCCUCGCGUCCGAUUAGCUAGUUGGUGAGGUAACGGCCCACCAAGGCGACGAUCGGUAGCCGGACUGAGAGGUUGAACGGCCACAUUGGGACUGAGACACGGCCCAGACUCCUACGGGAGGCAGCAGUGGGGAAUAUUGCACAAUGGGGGAAACCCUGAUGCAGCGACGCCGCGUGGAGGAAGAAGGUCUUCGGAUUGUAAACUUCUGUCUACAGGGACGAACAAAUGACGGUACCUGUAAAGAAAGCCACGGCUAACUACGUA